UUGCAAUGUUGCCACAACAGAAAUAAUAAUUAACUUAUUUAUGAUGGUGCCAUUAUUCUUUUUGUAUUUUUACAUAGCCUACAGUAACAUGAAUACAAAUACUAACGUGUUUAUAUAGAGUAUAACCACAGGUCCACACAUGAAAGUGAAUCUCGCACGAUUAUCCACAUUUUUGCUGGAAGGGUAAACCAGGCCUCAUGCGUAGUAUUCUCAGAAAUUCCAACAGCGCCCACGAGCCUGUCAUGUAUACAGUGUAGCAGGCCUGUAAUCCUGUCAAGUGCUCUCCUUACCAUCACUUGUUGUUAGUGUUAAGCUGAUGCCCCACUCCCAUUACAGAUGUUGAAUUAAAUGAAAGCUUAAUGCCAAUACUGCCCUUGUUCUCAGGCUAGAUAUACUGUAUCUGUACUGCCUUGGACAUCCCUAUCCCUCUGGCCGAAUUGUUUCCUCCUUUUUCUGAUCUGCUGUCUCCCUGAGAGAAAAAACAUCUAAUAUGCACAGCCCUGUGAUUCACGACAGGAGUACCACAGGUCUCGAUUUUAUUGUCGUCCGGAUACGUUUCCAAAUGAAGGAGCUGAGACACGUGGACGUUGUUUUACUUUUCCUAUGUACAUUUUUAAAUUGAUAUGGAGUAGUCCCCUGGACGUCUGUGGUGUUUGUUCAUUCAAAAUGAUUCCCCCGGUUUGGUUUCUUUACCUUGUGGACGAUUCCUCUGGACCGUUGUGCUUUUCUACCUAUGGGGUUCUCUUCGAGAUGGAAGGACGCGUUUUUUUUGCCUGCUCUGCCUCUUAUCAAAGUCUGGGACACACUGCCCUCUUGUGGCCAUAAUGUCAAUCUGCACUAGGUAGAGGAAUGACACUUCCUCAAGUGGUGCUCAGCUACAGAGCUACUGUUUGGCUGGGGAUCAGGAACCCAACAAUUGGCAUGCUUGACCUGUCCCAGUUUUAUUGACUCCACUCCCUCACCUUGGACUCGUGCAGGUGCCUGGACUCAAACCCUUUGGGUCGUACUGUUUCACUUCCCCUUAUCAUCACACAGGGGG
Molecule: long non-coding RNA, 1039 nt
Organism: Esox lucius (northern pike)
Lineage: Eukaryota; Metazoa; Chordata; Actinopteri; Esociformes; Esocidae
Source: Ensembl